UUGCUGAAAAGGAAGCGAUUGGAACCUUUUGGAAUCUAAUACGUGAAUCUCUUAUAACAUCGAGCCCUUGAUUCUUUCACUUUUUAAAAGAAGGGGGGAAUUAGGGUAAGGCUAUAGAUGUAAGGGACGAGAAUCGUAUUAGAGAGGUCAGCAUCAGUUAUGAAGGAAAGAUUAGGGAUGCAGAAGGUAGGCCCCCUGUGGGCUGCUUUAUAGAUGCAUCAUUAUAUGUACUUUCCUUUAUGACUGACGUGUACUUUUAUUGCAUGGAAUUUUCGGGCUACACUCUCUUUUGAGAGUACUCGAGUUCUGUGAUGCUGGCUGAAACGGUUUCAACCGACCCGUCUUGAAACACGGACCAAGGAGUCUAACAUAUGUGCGAGUAUGCGGGUGGCAAACCUGUAUGCGUAAUGAAAGUAAGAGUAGGGAAGAGGGUAACAUCUUUUUAAAGGGAUGUUAUGCUUUGCACCUACGACCGACCACGAUCUCAGAGAGAGGUUUGAGUUGGAGCAUAUCUGUUAG
RNAcentral lists this ribosomal RNA (519 nucleotides) under Sarcocystis lutrae. RNAcentral describes it as "partial large subunit ribosomal RNA". It matches the Rfam family "Eukaryotic large subunit ribosomal RNA", at positions 405 to 812 of the family's 3401-position model. Lineage: Eukaryota; Apicomplexa; Conoidasida; Eucoccidiorida; Sarcocystidae. The record is from RNAcentral.